AGGAACGCUCCUGGGUUCCGCCACGGUAUAUUUUGGAUCCUUUACUCAUUGAUCAGUUUUAUAAUGAUCAUCCUGAUCAGGCUGGUGGGACGUCAUGAGCCAGCCGUUAUGGUGGGGAGUAAUGUCAUGAUUCUGUCACCACUUCCUGUUAGACUUAUUUUGUCAACUAGCAUCCAGCUUCCUGUUCCUGGCCUCGUAACUCCUCUUUAAUUUCCCUCAUUGGUUUCACCUGUCUCCCUAACUAUAUAAGCCAGUCUUGCUCUUACCUCCUUGCCAGAUUGUCUCAUCAGCACAUUGGUGAACAUUCCAGCCAGUUCCUGAAUCAGAUCCUUGAAGCCUGUGAACUCUACUCUGCCUGGAACCUGAAUUUUCUCUCUCUGCCUGAACCUUUAUCAAGAGAAUGCCUACUAGAACACACUGGUAGACUAUCCUGUGUGGUACAGUGGACUGUGUCUCUGCCUGUCACGUGGUAGACCAGGGUUUGAUUCCCAAGCAGAUCACCCCAUCCAUCUCAGAAGACCAACUAAAUCCUGUUAGCUAUACUGAUCCAGGCAAUAUCUCCACCUUCUGGCCUGGAUAGGACCUGCCAGCAUCCUGAGAACAUUGAAAGUUUAUUUUCAGUUUCUUUAAUAUCAAAGACUUAUUCACUUGUGUCUGUCUGUAAUUUUGGGUCCAGUAGUAAUUCCCUCACAUUCUGUUAUGUGGACAUUCAAAGACAUUCAUUUCAAUGACAUGGGAGUUGGUCCACCUUGAACACCUGACACAUCUAGUGUUAUAUGAAACACCUUAUUGCUCAAUAAAAAAAACUCUAAAGUUGGUCGUUUUCACUUUCUGUGUAAAACAGAGCAUAUCACAGAAAAGUUAAUGAUUUGUAAGUCACUGGGGUUGUGAGAUACAGUGAGAUGUGUAUAUGUGUCUCUUGUCACAUGAG
Molecule: long non-coding RNA, 931 nt
Organism: Cyprinus carpio carpio
Lineage: Eukaryota; Metazoa; Chordata; Actinopteri; Cypriniformes; Cyprinidae
Source: Ensembl